Molecule: ribosomal RNA, 584 nt
Filed under: Alternaria sp. B23A
Lineage: Eukaryota; Fungi; Ascomycota; Dothideomycetes; Pleosporales; Pleosporaceae
Description: eukaryotic LSU rRNA
Rfam family: 5.8S ribosomal RNA (bases 245-398)
Source: RNAcentral
UAAAAAAGCGUAACAAGGUCUCCGUAGGUGAACCUGCGGAGGGAUCAUUACACAAUAACAAGGCGGGCUGGACACCCCCCGCUGGGCACUGCUUCACGGCGUGCGCGGCGGGGCCGGCCCUGCUGAAUUAUUCACCCGUGUCUUUUGCGUACUUCUUGUUUCCUGGGUGGGCUCGCCCGCCCUCAGGACCAACCACAAACCUUUUGCAAUAGCAAUCAGCGUCAGUAACAACGUAAUUAAUUACAACUUUCAACAACGGAUCUCUUGGUUCUGGCAUCGAUGAAGAACGCAGCGAAAUGCGAUACGUAGUGUGAAUUGCAGAAUUCAGUGAAUCAUCGAAUCUUUGAACGCACAUUGCGCCCUUUGGUAUUCCAAAGGGCAUGCCUGUUCGAGCGUCAUUUGUACCCUCAAGCUUUGCUUGGUGUUGGGCGUCUUUUGUCUCCAGUUCGCUGGAGACUCGCCUUAAAGUCAUUGGCAGCCGGCCUACUGGUUUCGGAGCGCAGCACAAGUCGCGCUCUUUGCCAGCCAAGGUCAGCGUCCAGCAAGCCUUUUUUUCAACCUUGACCUCGGAUCACGAGGAUUCC